Molecule: long non-coding RNA, 1247 nt
Organism: Gallus gallus (chicken)
Lineage: Eukaryota; Metazoa; Chordata; Aves; Galliformes; Phasianidae
Exons: 3
Source: RefSeq, a predicted model, not a curated record
GAAGCUCUCAACCCUAUCAUGGCCAUCGUUCAUUUCCAGACAUUCCCAUUCUUUCUUAACGUAGAGGGCUGCACCACUGCCUUUCCUGCCUUGCCUCUCUCUUUUGAAAAGUCGCUAGCCAUCCAUCACAGCACUCCAGCUGUGUGAGUCAUUCCACCACGUUUCUGUGAUUUUUCUCCUGUUUUUGGAUUCCAAGAAAAGCCAGGUAGGAUUAUUUUUAUUGUUAUUCUUUUUUUAAUGGCAGGCAUUGUGUUCAACUUAAAAAAGGAACGCAUGAAGAAUAGCUUUGUUUGCAUUCUGGUAAGUGCUGAGGCUUUGGCUGAUGACAGCUUUCAGCUGCAGCUGAACUAGGCUGGAUUUGUCUCCUGCUCUCCAUAGGUGAGUGUUUCUCUUCCAGAUCUUUGAAUCAGCUUUCUACACGGCUUAAGUGAUGGAACAGGAAAGACUCCAAUAUGGUAACAACGUGAUUUCUAGUGUUUUGGGUGAGGUUUGCCUGCUGAACAGCAAGACAAAAGAAGCUUAAAUUACAGAAGCAGAGAAGCAGAGACAGUCUAGAGGCUCAAUACAGAAAGAUUGUUUCACGUGUAAUGAAAAGCUAGUGUCCAGAUGAUCACUGCGGCCAGAUGGCAAUUUUGAUGCCCUCGUCACUAAGACUUGUCCAAGCCCUGAUGUAUGUGAAGCUCAUCAGGAGGGAAUGCUCGCAAGAAUCAGCUAACACAAUAGCAGCAAGCUUUCAGUGACAGCGUUCAGGAAGGGUGACGAUUCAGGCUGGGAGCAGGUAUGUCAUCACCUGACUUGACCACAUGUAACUUGAUGCUAGAAGUACACCACGUCCUCCCUCCCUGCAUGGCAAGAGAUUGCUCUCUUCUCCUGCAAAGGCAGCCAAAGUAACUUCUGUGUGCUGACUAGAGAGAGAAAACUUGGUGUCACUCCUCGCAAGUCCUGUGGCAGCCAGAUACUGUGUUAGCCACUCACAGGUAGCAUGUCUUUGGUAUCAGGGUGUAAGAGAAUGAACUCUGUAGGAGCGCUGCUGUCAUAGGCCACCAAGGGCCCGGGAUGCCUGGCUGAAAUUUGAUGUUGCAGAUACCUUGGUGUCACUGGAAUCCAUGGAGUUGACACAGUCCUCUGAUGGCUGGAUUUCGGCUUUCUAAGGGUAUUCCUUUCUGUUUCUCAUCUUUUCGGGUGAUAUUGCUUUGCUUUCCUUGGCUUUUUAGUAAUUCCUAUUUUGGUUAUUGUUUCUGGAAUGG